Molecule: ribosomal RNA, 253 nt
Filed under: uncultured bacterium
Lineage: Bacteria
Description: partial 16S ribosomal RNA
Rfam family: Bacterial small subunit ribosomal RNA
Source: RNAcentral
UACGUAGGGUGCAAGCGUUAAUCGGAAUUACUGGGCGUAAAGCGUGCGCAGGCGGCUUUGCAAGACAGAUGUGAAAUCCCCGGGCUCAACCUGGGAACUGCAUUUGUGACUGCAUGGCUAGAGUACGGUAGAGGGGGAUGGAAUUCCGCGUGUAGCAGUGAAAUGCGUAGAUAUCGCUUGGAACGCCAAUGGUGAAAACAGGUUGCUGGGGGUGUGCUGACGCUGAGACACGAAAGCCAGGGGAGCAAACGGG